RNAcentral lists this ribosomal RNA (503 nucleotides) under uncultured eukaryote. Its description in RNAcentral is "eukaryotic LSU rRNA". The stretch from base 113 to 266 matches the Rfam family "5.8S ribosomal RNA". The record is from RNAcentral.
CGCCCCGGGCGCCAUCGCGUGCCCCGGAACCAGGCGCCCGCCGGGGGACUCAAACUCUUGUUUUCACCCCAGUGGCAUUAUCUGAGUGGGCUUUAAGCAAACAAAUGAAUCAAAAGCUCAACAACGGAUCUCUUGGUUAAGGCAUGGAGGAAGAACGCAGGGAAAUGGGAUAAGUAAUGCGAAUAGCUGAACACAGCGCAUCAUUGAAUCCUUGAACGCACAUUGCGCCCGCCAGUAUUAACCAGGGCAUGCCUGUGUGAGCGUCAUUUCAACCCUCCCCGCGGCAUUCGUGUCGGGGGGCUGUUGGGGAUCGACGACCGCCCAACGGCGGACGUCGUCCCCUAAAGCCAGUGGCAGCCUCGCCGCGGCCUCCUCGCGCAGUAAUUACUUCUCGCGGGCGGAGCCACAGUGACGGAUCGCCGUAAAACCCCCAACUCUUCAAUGGUUGACCUCAGAUCAGGUAGGAAUACCCGCUGAACUUAAGCAUAUCAAUAAGCGGAGGA